This 498-nucleotide ribosomal RNA is filed under the name uncultured bacterium. RNAcentral's name for it is "bacterial SSU rRNA". It matches the Rfam family "Bacterial small subunit ribosomal RNA", at positions 21 to 507 of the family's 1533-position model. The record is from RNAcentral.
GGCUCAGAUUGAACGCUGGCGGCAGGCCUAACACAUGCAAGUCGAAUGGUAACAGGAAACAGCUUGCUGUUUCGCUGACGAGUGGCGGACGGGUGAGUAAUGUCUGGGAAACUGCCUGAUGGAGGGGGAUAACUACUGGAAACGGUAGCUAAUACCGCAUAACGUCGCAAGACCAAAGAGGGGGACCUUCGGGGCCUCUUGCCAUCAGAUGUGCCCAGAUGGGAUUAGCUAGUAGGUGGGGUAACGGCUCACCUAGGCGACGAUCCCUAGCUGGUCUGAGAGGAUGACCAGCCACACUGGAACUGAGACACGGUCCAGACUCCUACGGGAGGCAGCAGUGGGGAAUAUUGCACAAUGGGCGCAAGCCUGAUGCAGCCAUGCCGCGUGUAUGAAGAAGGCCUUCGGGUUGUAAAGUACUUUCAGCGGGGAGGAAGGGAGUAAAGUUAAUACCUUUGCUCAUUGACGUUACCCGCAGAAGAAGCACCGGCUAACUCCGUG